Molecule: ribosomal RNA, 497 nt
Filed under: uncultured bacterium
Lineage: Bacteria
Description: partial 16S ribosomal RNA
Rfam family: Bacterial small subunit ribosomal RNA
Source: RNAcentral
GAUGAACGCUGGCGGCGUGCCUAAUACAUGCAAGUCGAGCGAACAGACGAGGAUCUUGCUCCUCUGACGUUAGCGGCGGACGGGUGAGUAACACGUGGAUAACCUACCUAUAAGACUGGGAUAACUUCGGGAAACCGGAGCUAAUACCGGAUAAUAUAUUGAACCGCAUGGUUCAAUAGUGAAAGACGGUUUUGCUGUCACUUAUAGAUGGAUCCGCGCCGCAUUUGCUAGUUGGUAAGGUAACGGCUUACCAAGGCUACGAUGCGUAACCGACCUGGACGGGGGAAUCGGCAAGCCGGAAAUAGAGAACGGGCCAACACACUAGGGCGGGGACCAGGACGGAACUCUUCCGGAAGGGAGGAAUGCUGAAGGUUGCACACCGGGGGAAAGAAUGAGGCAUUCGGGCCGUGAAAUUCUGUUAGUAGGGGAGAAGUAAAAUUCUAGUUAACAAGAUCGACUUGACGGUACCGAAACAAAAAGGCCCGGCUAAAUACGUG